UGGGGAAUAUUGGACAAUGGGCGAAAGCCUGAUCCAGCCAUGCCGCGUGUGUGAAGAAGGUCUUCGGAUUGUAAAGCACUUUAAGUUGGGAGGAAGGGCAGUAAGCGAAUACCUUGCUGUUUUGACGUUACCGACAGAAUAAGCACCGGCUAACUCUGUGCCAGCAGCCGCGGUAAUACAGAGGGUGCAAGCGUUAAUCGGAAUUACUGGGCGUAAAGCGCGCGUAGGUGGUUCGUUAAGUUGAAUGUGAAAGCCCCGGGCUCAACCUGGGAACUGCAUCCAAAACUGGCGAGCUAGAGUAGGGCAGAGGGUGGUGGAAUUUCCUGUGUAGCGGUGAAAUGCGUAGAUAUAGGAAGGAACACCAGUGGCGAAGGCGACCACCUGGACUCAUACUGACACUGAGGUGCGAAAGCGUGGGGAGCAAACAGGA
RNAcentral lists this ribosomal RNA (430 nucleotides) under Pseudomonadota bacterium. Its description in RNAcentral is "Proteobacteria bacterium partial 16S ribosomal RNA". It matches the Rfam family "Bacterial small subunit ribosomal RNA", at positions 355 to 777 of the family's 1533-position model. Lineage: Bacteria; Pseudomonadati; Pseudomonadota. The record is from RNAcentral.